RNAcentral lists this transfer RNA (67 nucleotides) under Cryptotriton nasalis (Cortes salamander). RNAcentral describes it as "tRNA-Val". Lineage: Eukaryota; Metazoa; Chordata; Amphibia; Caudata; Plethodontidae. The record is from RNAcentral.
CAGAAUAUAGCUUAACUAAAGCAUUUUGCUUACACCAAAAAAAUAUCUAUUUACCCAGAUUAUACUG